AUGCUGGCCGUUCGUGGCAUUGAUAUUGGUUUAUUAUUCUCGGUGAGUUUUUACUUUAUAGUACAUACAUCGGGAUACCUACAUUGUUUUAGUACAUCAGUGUCCUUGCGCUUUGCAGAUACACACAACUAUAGUGUCGACUGUCGAGUACCAACCUAUUGUACACACAAAUCGUAAUGGUUAAUGGUUUUAUAAAAUUAGAUGGACGAGUCGUUGGUCGUCUUUGCAGUCACACAUUUUGUCACCACUGUCACCAGACUGUUACCGUCGAACAUUAAUGUAGUAAUUUUCCAUCAUCAAAAAGGAAGAAAUUUUGUAUUCCGAACAGUUGCGGAAGAGUCACUCAGCACAUCGGAAGAAUUGGCAAUAAUAAAAUGCGAAUUUCAAGGAUAAUUUUAACUCACAGGAAGGAAGCUAAAAUGAAACACAGAGAGGAAGAGCAGCGAUAUGACAUAAUUCAAAAUCGUCAAUACGUAGUAAGUAUUAGAAAAUUG
This is a long non-coding RNA of Planococcus citri (citrus mealybug), 494 nucleotides long. RefSeq lists it as uncharacterized. NCBI's taxonomy places the organism in Eukaryota, Metazoa, Arthropoda, Insecta, Hemiptera, Pseudococcidae. The record is from RefSeq and is a predicted model, not a curated record. The transcript has 3 exons.